Unclassified non-coding RNA from Callithrix jacchus (white-tufted-ear marmoset), 297 nucleotides. It matches the Rfam family "Metazoan signal recognition particle RNA". Rfam says of the family: The signal recognition particle (SRP) is a universally conserved ribonucleoprotein. NCBI's taxonomy places the organism in Eukaryota, Metazoa, Chordata, Mammalia, Primates, Cebidae. The record is from Ensembl.
GCCAGGCGUGUUGGCGCGUGCCUGUAGUCCCAGCUACUUGGGAGGCUGAGGCUGGAGGAUCGCUUGAGCCCAGGAGUUCUGGGCUGUAGUGCACUAUGCCGAUCAUGUGUCCGCACUAAGUUCAGCAUCAAUAUGGUGACCUCCCAGGAGCGGGGGAACACCAGGUUGCCUAAGAAGGGGUGAACCAGCCCAGGCUGGAAACAGAGCAGGUCAAAACUCCCAUGCUGAUCAGCAGUGGGAUCGCACCUGUGAAUAGCCACUGCACUCCAGCCUGAACAUAGCGAGACCCCGUGUCUA